UACGUAGGGGGUUAGCGUUGUCCGGAUUUAUUGGGCGUAAAGAGCGUGUAGGCGGCCAGGUAGGUCUGCUGUGAAAACUCGAGGCUCAACCUCGAGACGUCGGCGGAAACCAUCUGGCUAGAGUCCGGAAGAGGAGAGUGGAAUUCCUGGUGUAGCGGUGAAAUGCGCAGAUAUCAGGAAGAACACCCGUGGCGAAGGCGGCUCUCUGGGACGGUACUAACGCUGAGACGCGAAAGCGUGGGGAGCGAACAGG
This 253-nucleotide ribosomal RNA is filed under the name uncultured bacterium. RNAcentral's name for it is "partial 16S ribosomal RNA". It matches the Rfam family "Bacterial small subunit ribosomal RNA", at positions 524 to 776 of the family's 1533-position model. The record is from RNAcentral.